AUUGAACGCUGGCGGCAGGCCUAACACAUGCAAGUCGAACGGUAGCACAGAGAGCUUGCUCUCGGGUGACGAGUGGCGGACGGGUGAGUAAUGUCUGGGAAACUGCCUGAUGGAGGGGGAUAACUACUGGACACGGUAGCUAAUACCGCAUAACGUCGCAAGACCAAAGAGGGGGAACUUCGGGCCUCUUGCCAUCAGAUGUGCCCAGAUGGGAUUAGCUAGUAGGUGGGGUAACGGCUCACCUAGGCAACGAUCCCUAGCUGGUCUGAGAGGAUGACCAGCCACCCUGGAACUGGGACAGGGUCCAGACUCCGACGGGAGGCAGCAGUGGGGAAUAUUGCACAAUGGGCGCAAGCCUGAUGCAGCCAUGCCGCGUGUAUGAAGAAGGCCUUCGGGUUGUAAAGUACUUUCAGCGGGGAGGAAGGCGAUACGGUUAAUAACCGUGUUGAUUGACGUUACCCGCAGAAGAAGCACCGGCUAACUCCGUGCCAGCAGCCGCCGUAA
This 504-nucleotide ribosomal RNA is filed under the name uncultured bacterium. RNAcentral describes it as "partial 16S ribosomal RNA". It matches the Rfam family "Bacterial small subunit ribosomal RNA", at positions 30 to 523 of the family's 1533-position model. The record is from RNAcentral.